UGUUGCCAGACAACUGGGUGGU
RNAcentral lists this non-coding RNA (22 nucleotides) under Arabidopsis thaliana (thale cress). Lineage: Eukaryota; Viridiplantae; Streptophyta; Magnoliopsida; Brassicales; Brassicaceae. The record is from RNAcentral.